GAUGAACGCUGGCGGCGUGCCUAAUACAUGCAAGUCGAGCGAACGGACGAGAAGCUUGCUUUUCUGAUGUUAGCGGCGGACGGGUGAGUAACACGUGGAUAACCUACCUAUAAGACUGGUAUAACUUCGGGAAACCGGAGCUAAUACCGGAUAAUAUUUUGAACCGCAUGGUUCAAAAGUGAAAGACGGUCUUGCUGUCACUUAUAGAGGGAUCUGCGCUGCAUUGGCUAGUUGUGAAGGUAACGGGUUACCAAGGCAACGAUGCAUAGCCGACCUGAGAGGGUGAUAGGCCACACUGGAACUGAGCCACGGUCCAGACUCCUACGGGAGGCAGCAGUAGGGAAUCUUCCGCAAUGGGCGAAAGCCUGACGGAGCAACGCCGAGUGAGUGAUGAAGGUCUUCGGAUCGUAAAACUCUGUUAUUAGGGAAGAACAUAUGUGUAAGUAACUGUGCACAUCUUGACGGUACCUAAUCAGAAAGCCACGGCUAACUACGUG
This 497-nucleotide ribosomal RNA is filed under the name uncultured bacterium. RNAcentral's name for it is "partial 16S ribosomal RNA". It matches the Rfam family "Bacterial small subunit ribosomal RNA", at positions 28 to 507 of the family's 1533-position model. The record is from RNAcentral.